Molecule: ribosomal RNA, 250 nt
Filed under: uncultured bacterium
Lineage: Bacteria
Description: partial 16S ribosomal RNA
Rfam family: Bacterial small subunit ribosomal RNA
Source: RNAcentral
GACAGAGGUGGCGAGCGUUGUUCGGAAUCAUUGGGCUUAAAGCGCACGUAGGCGGCCUUGUAAGUGUCCUGUGAAAGCCCUCGGCUCAACCGAGGAACGGCAGGGCAUACUGCCGGGCUUGAGGCAGGUAGGGGCGAGUGGAACUCUUGGUGGAGCGGUGGAAUGCGUAGAUAUCAAGAGGAACGCCGGUGGUGAAGACGACUCGCUGGGCCUGUCCUGACGCUGAGGUGCGAAAGCCAGGGGAGCAAAC